Molecule: long non-coding RNA, 779 nt
Organism: Frieseomelitta varia
Lineage: Eukaryota; Metazoa; Arthropoda; Insecta; Hymenoptera; Apidae
Exons: 2
Source: RefSeq, a predicted model, not a curated record
UGCUUAUUAUGUAUGUAUUUAUAUAUAUAUAUAUAUCGCUUGUAUAUUUUGAAUAAUUAAGUUCCACAUUAAAGAAAUUAAAGAAAUGAAGAUUUAAUAUAAAAAUAGAGUAAAAGUACUUUAGAUUUGAGUCGUAAUGUUAAUUGUUGCAUUACAACUUGAUGUCGAGGAAAAAGCCAAACAAUAGUUCCACGAUUAUCAAAUGAAAAUAUGGUAAACAAAGGUUUGUACAUUUUACGCGUAUGACGUAAGAAGUAAAAAAAAAAAGAGUAACAAUAGUUUUGCUAGUGAAUUAGAAAUUUUUUGAUAAAUGCAAAGAAUAUAUGAAUUUAAAUCGUAUGAGUGUCGUGUUUGUUAAGAUCCACUAUCGUGGAGGUUAUUUAGUUACUUGUCAUAUCGUAAUUUAAUCAAGUCUUAUUUUAAUCGUAAAUUGCAAAAAUGUGGUUUCAUUUGAUGCUUGCUAUUUUUGCGAUGUUUGACUCGGCAAUGGCAUCGUCCGGCUUCGAUUUUGGAGAUACUCUGGCAUUGAUCCUCGGAUUGAUCAUUGGAAUUAUUGGAUUUUUUGCCUGUAUGGGUGCUUAUGCACGUCAUCGAAUUUCUGUGGAAACAAUGCCAUAAUAAACGAUUUCAAAAUUCCAUUAGUAGCUAUUCAAUACAUAGAGAAUUAAGAAAGAGAAAUGCCUCAAGUGACAUGUUUUUAAUACAUUCAAUAUUGUUAUUAUAAAUUUCAUAUGAGAAUUGCUUUAAAACUAACAGAAAUUAAGUGUAUUUCUCAUAAU